CUAUGCAGGAAGCUCCCAGGUGAGGUCUCUGCCAUUUACCUCCAUGCAGAGACACCUUGGGUACUUUCUCUCUCUCUCUCUCUCUCUCUCUCUCUCUCUCUCUCUCUCUCUCUCUCUCUCUCUCUCUCUCAAUGACUCUCUCCCCUUCUUUCUCUGUCUCUUUUAUGUCUCUCCCCAAUCUCUCUCCCUCUCUCUCCCCUCUUUCUCUCUCUCACCAACUCUCUCCCUCUCUCAGUGUCUCUGUCAGUCUCUCUCUCUAAUUCUCUGUCUCUGUAUCUGUUCCUAUCCCUGUUCCUGUCCCUGUAUCUUCUCCCCAUCCUUCCCUCCCUCCCUCCCUCUCCCUCUCUGUCUCCCCCUACUCUCUCCCACAUCUCUCCCUCACUUUCUCUCUCCUCUCUCCCCCCUCUGUCUCUCUCUCACCCCCUUCUUCUCUCUCUCUGUCUCUGUGUCUCUCUCCCUCUCUAUCUCCCCCUCCCUCCUUCCCCCCUCUUUCUCUCUCUCCCUCUCAUCAUCCCUCUUUCUGUUUCUCUCCCUACCUUUCUCUGUCUCUCGCUGUCCCUCUCUUUCUGUCUCUCCUUCCCCCCUCUUUCUCUCUCUCACUCCCUCUCUCCCUCCCUCUUUCAGUCUCAGUCUACCUCCUUCUUUCUGUCUCUCUCUCCCUCCCUCCCUCCAUCAUCUCUCUUUCUCUGUCCCUCUCUCACUUUCCCUCUCUCUGUCUCUCUCCCUCCCUCCUUCCCCCUUCUCUCUCCUUCUCUUCUUUCCUCUCUCUGUCUCUCUCCCUCUCUCUUUAUCUCUCUCACUGUCACUGUCUCUCUCCCUCUCUCUCUCUCUCUCUCUCUCUCUCUUUCUCUCUCUCUCUCUCUCUCUCUCUCUCUCUCUCUCUCUCUCUCUUCCUCUCUCUCCUCUUGAGGGCACCUCUGCCUGUUGGCUCAUCCCCCAAGCCCUCAGCCAGGCUGCUGCAGCUUGAUCAGUGGGGCUUGGGACUCAUCAUAUAUCAUCAGACAUUCCUCUGGCAGGGCCAAGAUAUCAGAAGCUUCCCUUUGCAAAGAAUGGAAUGAAUGAAAGCUAACAAGUCGACCAAGUUUGUGUUAAACUGUGUCCAUUGCCAGCAAAAAGAGCUCGAGCUUUGCACAGCCCUCUAAAGGCUAUGCACAGUUUUGCUCAGGGGAAAAGAGUUGAUUUUGUAAUCAGAGCUCCAGUGUUCAGAUCCCAGCCCCAUAUUUUACUCUGACCUUUGGCAAAUCUCUUUGAUCCUUAGGCCUUGUUUUCCCCACACACAAAAUGAAAAGGUUGGACCAGCUGACUUUGUUU
RNAcentral lists this long non-coding RNA (1311 nucleotides) under Monodelphis domestica (gray short-tailed opossum). RNAcentral describes it as "lncRNA (ENSMODG00000043286.1)". The record is from RNAcentral. Lineage: Eukaryota; Metazoa; Chordata; Mammalia; Didelphimorphia; Didelphidae.